GUUUAUCUCAGAGGAGUGAGCUUAAGAACACAAGCUGCAUUGGUUUGAAUUGUUAUAUCAUAUACUAGAAUCUAGUAUAUCUUUAUGUUACUAAUUUAUCUUGUGUUCUCAGGUCACCCCUUUGAGGUAACC
RNAcentral lists this microRNA precursor (132 nucleotides) under Lotus japonicus. RNAcentral describes it as "MIR398 microRNA precursor family". It matches the Rfam family "MIR398 microRNA precursor family". The record is from Rfam by way of RNAcentral. Lineage: Eukaryota; Viridiplantae; Streptophyta; Magnoliopsida; Fabales; Fabaceae.